This is a long non-coding RNA of Gallus gallus (chicken), 642 nucleotides long. The record is from Ensembl. NCBI's taxonomy places the organism in Eukaryota, Metazoa, Chordata, Aves, Galliformes, Phasianidae.
UUUACGGAAUAUGUUGUUGACUUUACGGGUGAGUGCUGUGUUCCUCUGAAGAAUCCCUUUGUCAGCAUGAAAAAUGCAGUGUGGAGACCACAACAGACAGAAGAGAAAAGGAAGAUAAAGAAAAGCAGAAAAGAAAGCAGGAAGAAGACCGAAGCAACAGCAGAAUAUUGAAGAGGAAGGAUCUGGAAAACAGAGCAGCCCAGGAAAGCAUUGUGACAGGCAUUUAUCUUCAUGAAGGGUCUGAGAAAGGGGAGAUGCAAACUUUCUGAGGACAACGUCAUGAAGAGUGUCCCACACACAAAUGAAAACAACUCCUUGUGCUAGGAGACACUCCCUCAAAGAACGCAAUGAGGCAAGCCUUAAUGGUCAAGCAGAUAAUAGAAGUGGUAUUACAUGCUACAGAACACAAGUAUAAAACAGGUGAAGUUAUGUGAGACUUUAGAAAGGAUCUGAAUUCUGUGGAGGCAGUUACAGAAGGGUGACAAAGAGUCCUCAUCAAGGACUGCUGUGGCCAUUGGGAAGAACAAGAUUAGAGCAAUCUACAGUAAAUUGCCUGAAGAAGGACGGAGGACAGGGUCAGAAAGAAAAUGAACUGCCACACAGAUAACACAGGAGAAGAAUUAAAAACACUGUUCUUUGUAG